This 394-nucleotide long non-coding RNA is filed under the name Homo sapiens (human). RNAcentral's name for it is "HSALNT0079524". Lineage: Eukaryota; Metazoa; Chordata; Mammalia; Primates; Hominidae. The record is from RNAcentral.
UUCCAAAUUAAAUUGUAUUUAAUAUGUCUUAGGGGAGCUCUCUAUUUUUUUUUAAUGUUUCAAUAUGAGAAAGAGGGAAGGGAAGGUCUCAAGAGGAUGGAUCCCCCCAUUACUUUAUUGCGCUUUCUAAAAGAGGGUAAAGCAAGAUUAUCUGAGGGAAUCUAAUCUAAUCAUGUGAGCCCUUUAAAUGCUGGCAAGAAAAAAAGAAAGUCAGAGAGAUUUGAAGCACAGGGGGGAUUCAAUGCAUCCGUACUGGCUUGAAGAUGAAGGACUCCCCUAAGAAGGAAUGUGGGUGGCCUUAGCAGCUGAGAGAGGCCCCAGCUGACAGCUAGCAAGAAAAUGAUGACUGCAGGCCAGGUGCGGUGGCUCACGUCUUUAAUCUCAGCACUUUGGG